UCAGGGGAAGGCACCAGGGGAAGGCGGAGGAGGGAACCAAGGAUGGGAGCAGAGUGGCGUGAGCAGGGCCCAGUGUUUCCUCCCACAAGGCAGGUAGCCAAACACUGCUGAGAUGUCCUGGGCAAUGGGGGUGGGGAGAAAUGUCCCGUGCUGCCGCCUGGUCCUUGUCUCCAGAGCAGGAACCCAGGCUGGGGACCCAAAAGGGGGCAGGCAGGGGGGUGACGGUGAACAAAGGCCUCUCUGGGAAAGAGAUCCCAGUUGGCGGCAGGACGUACUUUAGGCCACCACGGGGCCCUUGCCAGCCGCCCUGAGGCCAGGAGGCGCCAUUUUCUCCGCUGGGGCUGGUCCCCUUCCGUCGCAGGGAGGAGGGGAGGGCGCGACCAGGCGGGCGAGGGGCGAGGAGGACAGGGCGGCCGGGCAGCGCCCUGCCCAGUCCCGCCGUCUCCAUGGCGACGGCUACCUCACCGCGGAGGCGGGGAGAGCUGCAGGGGAACCAAGGGAGAGAACUUCUGCCUCAGCCCAUCUGGUUCAUCUCUACCCUGGGAUCAGGGCUGGCAAACCCCUCUGCUGGACUCCCUGCACAGCCCGCCCCCUCCACCAGGCUCUCUGAUUCCUGCCCUCCUGCCAGGCAACAGAGAACUGACCCAGGACCUAUGGGUGAAAGGUGCUACAUGGGACUGUUCCGGGGCACAAAAAAAGUAUAAGGAACCCAGCACUUAAGGAGCUUCCUGCCAAUCAGGAUGAGAAAGGAAACACAGCAUGGUUUCACCACUGGACAAAAGGAAAGUAAUGUUUCUAAAGAGGCGACUUGGCUGCUGAUGCUCAGAAGAGCUUGUCAUGUGGACAGUGGACUCUAUAACCAGAGCAUAAAGUCUGCAGGGCCUGGACCUUCCUGUAUUUCAAGAUCCUUCUUCAUCCUGCCUUCUUCCUGCCUGACCUCUUGAGACAUCACACCCUCCCAUUCGCUACCCUCUUCCUGGAGUGCCCUUCUCCCUUUUCUGCCUGUUGACUCCUACAUUGAAGGACCAGCUUGGUCCUGUGACCUCAUCUGUGAAGGCUUCUUCAGUUCCCUAGCAGAAUUAACUGCUUCCUCGUGAUUUCUCAAAUGUUUGUUAUCAGAGGCAUGUCAUAUUAUUCAUUGUACUUAUUUAUUGAGCACCUCCUAAGCAUUAGGUCUCCUGUUAGGUGCAAGAUAUAGUCACAGAUACAGCAUAGGGCUGUCUUUGGAGCCUACAGGCUGGUGGUGGCACGGCUGUCAUGGGCCCCUUCUGUCCUCCACUUAGGGCCAGGCCCUUUCAGCAUCCUCAGAGCUCACCACAGGACACUGCAGCCACAAGUUUCCGUGUUGCUUGAGUGAGUGACCAAGCCUGGGCAAGUCUUCCUCUGAGUAUCCCCUGAUAGGUUGCUGACCUCUCAACAAGCUUUGGGGCAUGAGUUAGCUAUAAAAUAUGGCCCCGAAUAGUUGAAGCUGUUGGAUAUUAUGAUUUAAUGAUGACCAUGUGAUCUCAACAUUCAACAUGUUGACAAUGAAACUGACUUAGUUUACCUGUAAUGGGGCUUUUGGGGCUGACAGUCAUCAAUCAGUAGGUUCACCAGUAUUUUAAGUUUGAUCAGUUCUCAGCAGUAGUCAUGUACCGAUGUGAGAACUGAACCAUAAAGAAGGCUGAGCACUGAUGCUUUUGAACUGUGU
Long non-coding RNA from Capra hircus (goat), 1690 nucleotides. RefSeq lists it as uncharacterized. NCBI's taxonomy places the organism in Eukaryota, Metazoa, Chordata, Mammalia, Artiodactyla, Bovidae. The record is from RefSeq and is a predicted model, not a curated record. The transcript has 3 exons.